Molecule: ribosomal RNA, 467 nt
Filed under: uncultured bacterium
Lineage: Bacteria
Description: partial 16S ribosomal RNA
Rfam family: Bacterial small subunit ribosomal RNA
Source: RNAcentral
ACGAACGCUGGCGGCGUGCUUAACACCUGCAAGUCGAACGGAAAGGCCCUGCUUUUGUGGGGUGCUCGAGUGGCGAACGGGUGAGUAACACGUGAGUAACCUGCCCUUGACUUUGGGAUAACUUCAGGAAACUGGGGCUAAUACCGGAUAGGAGCUCCUGCUGCAUGGUGGGGGUUGGAAAGUUUCGGCGGUUGGGGAUGGACUCGCGGCUUAUCAGCUUGUUGGUGGGGUAGUGGCUUACCAAGGCUUUGACGGGUAGCCGGCCUGAGAGGGUGACCGGCCACAUUGGGGCUGAGAUACGGCCCAGACUCCUACGGGAGGCAGCAGUGGGGAAUAUUGCACAAUGGGCGGAAGCCUGAUGCAGCAACGCCGCGUGCGGGAUGACGGCCUUCGGGUUGUAAACCGCUUUCGCCUGUGACGAAGCGUGAGUGACGGUAAUGGGUAAAGAAGCACCGGCUAACUACGUG